GGCCUCGCAGUGUAGAUCUGGAAUGAGUAUGGAUAGACCUCCUAAGGUCUCUAAGCUCAAGAUUAAAAUCGUCGCUUACGCACCGGAACCGCAUUCAUAGGCAUGCCUAUGUUUGCAAACUUCACGUUGAGGAUAAAUUUAUCAAAGAUGAUAAAAGAGUGCCUUUCUCAUGGCCUACAUUAUUCUCAGAAGUGGAAAUAGCAUGUCGAAAACCCACUUGUCCUGUAACUGUCUCUGUUCGGACAGUGGGAGAUCAUACUUAUGCUAUACCACUGCAGAUAAAUGCAGAGUUGGUGACCCGGAAAAGAAAAAGGACCACAGAAAUCAGACCACACACACAAUAUUCAACGUAUCGACUGACAAAAAUAAAAGUGAUGUUACUUAGUUUAACAUGCUCGAUGGUUUAAUAC
Molecule: long non-coding RNA, 410 nt
Organism: Hyposmocoma kahamanoa
Lineage: Eukaryota; Metazoa; Arthropoda; Insecta; Lepidoptera; Cosmopterigidae
Exons: 3
Source: RefSeq, a predicted model, not a curated record